This 279-nucleotide ribosomal RNA is filed under the name uncultured bacterium. RNAcentral describes it as "partial 16S ribosomal RNA". It matches the Rfam family "Bacterial small subunit ribosomal RNA", at positions 76 to 353 of the family's 1533-position model. The record is from RNAcentral.
UUGCUUUCUUUGCUGGCGACCGGCGCACGGGUGAGUAACACGUAUCCAACCUGCCCUUUACUCGGGGAUAGCCUUUCGAAAGAAAGAUUAAUACCCGAUAGUAUAAUGAUUCCGCAUGGUUUCAUUAUUAAAGGAUUCCGGUAAAGGAUGGGGAUGCGUUCCAUUAGGUUGUUGGUGAGGUAACGGCUCACCAAGCCUUCGAUGGAUAGGGGGUUCUGAGAGGAAGGUCCCCCACAUUGGAACUGAGACACGGUCCAAACUCCUACGGGAGGCAGCAUG